RNAcentral lists this ribosomal RNA (292 nucleotides) under uncultured bacterium. RNAcentral describes it as "partial 16S ribosomal RNA". It matches the Rfam family "Bacterial small subunit ribosomal RNA", at positions 505 to 796 of the family's 1533-position model. The record is from RNAcentral.
GUGCCAGCCGCCGCGGUAAGACGGAAGGUGCAAGCGUUGCUCGGAAUCACUGGGCGUAAAGGGUGCGUAGGCGGCUGUGUAAGUCUGGCGUGAAAGCCCAGGGCUCAGCCCUGGAAGUGCGCUAGAAACUGCGCGGCUGGAGUGCCGGAGGGGAGAGUGGAAUUCCUGGUGUAGCGGUGAAAUGCGUAGAUAUCAGGAGGAAUACCGGUGGCGAAAGCGACUCUCUGGACGGCAACUGACGCUGAGGCACGAAAGCGUGGGGAGCAAACAGGAUUAGAAACCCGCGUAGUCC